This 45-nucleotide non-coding RNA is filed under the name Schistosoma haematobium. The record is from RNAcentral. Lineage: Eukaryota; Metazoa; Platyhelminthes; Trematoda; Strigeidida; Schistosomatidae.
GUCCAGCUGAAGUAUGCCAAAUAAGAUGAAACACACGUCCUGGAU